AGCGAACGCUGGCGGCAGGCUUAACACAUGCAAGUCGAACGGGCACUUCGGUGCUAGUGGCAGACGGGUGAGUAACACGUGGGAACGUACCUUUCGGUUCGGAAUAAUUCAGGGAAACUUGGACUAAUACCGGAUAAGCCCUUCGGGGGAAAGAUUUAUCGCCGAUAGAUCGGCCCGCGUCUGAUUAGCUAGUUGGUGAGGUAACGGCUCACCAAGGCGACGAUCAGUAGCUGGUCUGAGAGGAUGAUCAGCCACAUUGGGACUGAGACACGGCCCAAACUCCUACGGGAGGCAGCAGUGGGAAUAUUGGACAAUGGGCGAAAGCCUGAUCCAGCCAUGCCGCGUGUGUGAUGAAGGCCUUAGGGUUGUAAAGCACUUUGUCCGGGAAGAUAAUGACUGUACCGGAAGAAUAAGCCCCGGCUAACUUCGUGCCAGCAGCCGCG
Molecule: ribosomal RNA, 443 nt
Filed under: uncultured bacterium
Lineage: Bacteria
Description: bacterial SSU rRNA
Rfam family: Bacterial small subunit ribosomal RNA
Source: RNAcentral